Molecule: unclassified non-coding RNA, 348 nt
Filed under: soil metagenome
Description: partial contains 5.8S ribosomal RNA, internal transcribed spacer 2, and large subunit ribosomal RNA
Rfam family: 5.8S ribosomal RNA (bases 1-120)
Source: RNAcentral
GAUGAAGAACGCAGCGAAAUGCGAUAAGUAAUGUGAAUUGCAGAAUUCAGUGAAUCAUCGAAUCUUUGAACGCACAUUGCGCCCGCCAGUAUUCUGGCGGGCAUGCCUGUCUGAGCGUCAUUUCAACUCUCAUGCCCCUAGGGCGUGGUGUUGGGGAUCGGCCAAAGCCCGCGAGGGACGGCCGGCCCCUAAAUCUAGUGGCGGACCCGUCGUGGCCUCCUCUGCGAAGUAGUGAUAUUCCGCAUCGGAGAGCGAUGAGCCCCUGCCGUUAAACCCCCAACUUUCCAAGGUUGACCUCAGAUCAGGUAGGAAUACCCGCUGAACUUAAGCAUAUCAAUAAGCGGAGGA